This 253-nucleotide ribosomal RNA is filed under the name uncultured bacterium. RNAcentral describes it as "partial 16S ribosomal RNA". It matches the Rfam family "Bacterial small subunit ribosomal RNA", at positions 524 to 776 of the family's 1533-position model. The record is from RNAcentral.
GACGUAGGGCGCGAGCGUUGUCCGGAUUUAUUGGGCGUAAAGAGCUCGUAGGCGGCUCAUUGCGUCAACCGUGAAAACCAGCAGCUCAACUGUUGGCUUGCGGUUGAUACGGGUGGGCUGGAGUUCGGUAGGGGAGACUGGAAUUCCUGGUGUAGCGGUGAAAUGCGCAGAUAUCAGGAGGAACACCGGUGGCGAAGGCGGAUCUCUGGGCCUUACCUGACGCUCAGGCGCGAAAGCUAGGGGAGCGAACUGG